RNAcentral lists this ribosomal RNA (490 nucleotides) under uncultured bacterium. RNAcentral's name for it is "partial 16S ribosomal RNA". It matches the Rfam family "Bacterial small subunit ribosomal RNA", at positions 30 to 507 of the family's 1533-position model. The record is from RNAcentral.
AUUGAACGCUGGCGGCAUGCUUUACACAUGCAAGUCGGACGGCAGCGGGGCAGUGCUUGCACUACUGCCGGCGAGUGGCGAACGGGUGAGUAAUAUAUUGGAACGUACCGAGUAAUGGGGGAUAACCAAUCGAAAGAUUGGCUAAUACCGCAUACGCUCUGAGGAGGAAAGCAGGGGACCUUCGGGCCUUGCGUUAUUCGAGCGGCCAAUAUCUGAUUAGCUAGUUGGUGGGGUAAGGGCCUACCAAGGCGACGAUCAGUAGCGGGUCUGAGAGGAUGAUCCGCCACACUGGGACUGAGACACGGCCCAGACUCCUACGGGAGGCAGCAGUGGGGAAUUUUGGACAAUGGGCGCAAGCCUGAUCCAGCCAUGCCGCGUGUCUGAAGAAGGCCUUCGGGUUGUAAAGGACUUUUGUUAGGGAAGAAAAAGGAGCGGUUAAUACCCGUUUCUGCUGACGGUACCUAAAGAAUAAGCACCGGCUAACUACGUG